CCUACGGGAGGCAGCAGUGAGGAAUAUUGGUCAAUGGACGAGAGUCUGAACCAGCCAAGUAGCGUGAAGGAUGACUGUACUAUGGGUUGUAAACUUCUUUUAUAAAGGAAUAAAACGAGGUACGUGUGCCUUUUUGCAUGUACUUUAUGAAUAAGGAUCGGCUAACUCCGUGCCAGCAGCCGCGGUAAUACGGAGGAUGCGAGCGUUAUCCGGAUUUAUUGGGUUUAAAGGGAGCGUAGAUGGUUUGUUAAGUCAGUUGUGAAAGUUUGCGGCUCAACCGUAAAAUUGCAGUUGAUACUGGCAGUCUUGAGUACAGUUGAGGUAGGCGGAAUUCGCGGUGUAGCGGUGAAAUGCUUAGAUAUCACGAAGAACCCCGAUUGCGAAGGCAGCAUACUAAACUGUGACUGACAUUGAGGCUCGAAAGUGUGGGUAUCAAACAGGAUUAGAUACCCCGGUAGUC
This 460-nucleotide ribosomal RNA is filed under the name uncultured bacterium. RNAcentral describes it as "partial 16S ribosomal RNA". It matches the Rfam family "Bacterial small subunit ribosomal RNA", at positions 338 to 795 of the family's 1533-position model. The record is from RNAcentral.